Long non-coding RNA from Xenopus laevis (African clawed frog), 2892 nucleotides. RefSeq lists it as uncharacterized. Lineage: Eukaryota; Metazoa; Chordata; Amphibia; Anura; Pipidae. The record is from RefSeq and is a predicted model, not a curated record. The transcript is spliced from 15 exons.
GUGUAGUUCCAGCCUAAGUGUUUGUCAAAGGUACACACAGCCACAAUGUAGCAUCCGUAAUGUAUUCAACAUGGUAGAUUACCUGCCCUAUAGCAUUACAUACUCACAACUUUCUUAAGCAUAUUUUUAUAUUGUGCUACAUCUUAAAAUGCAGUUUUUUUACUUGUCUUUACCUAAUGACAUUUGUGUUUCUCCCACCCCUUCUAAUAGGAAAAAAAAGCAACAAAUCCUCAAUUACCCUCAAACUGACUUUCAUACAAAGUGGCACAGGGAAUUAUUCUUAGAAACUGUGGAAUUAUGGGAGAUAAGUGUAUGAUCUCACACUCUGGUUUGCUUCCCCUUUAUCCAUAGCUAAGCAUGGUGUAACUCUGUCCCAUUUUCUCCACAGAUGAAGGAGUAUCACAGAAGGCGACCACUCCAGCACCAAUGGGAGGAAAGGAAAAAAGAAUGAGAUCCUGAUAACCCGGCACAGCUCUCUCCAGAGCCAAAGCUGAAUCAGGAGAAGCAACUGGAAGCCGAGUGGGACCAGCAGAGGGUUUUGGCUGCAAGAAGAGGCUGUAUGUAAGGGGUGCACGCAGGAGCCAAGUUGCUGGACAUGUGAUCGUAUGUGAGCCAUAGCUUCCUUUAGAUCAUCCUGGAUAUCGUACCAUAGUGAGAACUGGUGGAUCUGAAGGCUCUGGAAGCUGAGGCUUUGGAGAAGAAGAAAUUCGGGGAGAAUGAGCAUCUGCAGCUAUUGCCGAGUUCCACCCACGAAGUUGAAAGAAAGUACUGGACUACUCCCCAACUAGUAGGAGUAAAGAAGUGCACAGAGCAGGGAUAUCACAGACACACAAGGACUUGCUGUGGGAAAGUGAAUGGGGCCUUCUCUGGAGAAAAACAACAAUAACAAUUCAUUCAGAUCUUUUUCUCCACCUGUGGAAUGGCAUUGGUGACAGAAGCAACGACAUUGACUGAAAAUGCAGAUUGCUUUAUAUUUCUGUACCCUGAGCUGUAUGCACAAAGGACAUUGACAGGUUUCAUGAAUUAAAAGGGAUGGGGAGAGUGCCCACCCAUGGGAGCGGUACAGGAAGGAGUUGCCUCCCCUUUUGCAGAAAGGAAGAAGCCACCAUGCUGUGUGCAGGGAAGGAGGGAAAGCUGCAGGGAGAAGCAGUGAAGCUGAAAGCUGCCGAUUGGACCCGAAAGCUGCUGAUUGGAUCCAAAGAAGAGGAGAAGCUGACAAAAUUCAAUGAAUAGAAGAGGAAGAAUGAAGAAGACCUUUAAAGAGCCAGAUAACAGAUUAAUUCAGAACCCUGACAGAGCCAUGUUCAGCGAUGCGAAACCCGAUCCCGCUCUCCCUUCUCGAACCUGUCAACGAAAUGUUGAAAAAUCAGCUAUUUUCUGCAAUUUUCGCUGCUGCGAUCUUUCAUCGAGAAAGCUGGGGCUUUUAUUUCUGGAUUAGAGGGACGGAAGGUUGUGAACUUUGAACUUUGACCUUCUUGACAAGAUAACCUUUUAGUUGUGAAUGAGUUAACCAACAAGAGAGUGCUUGUUUACAGAUCCCUCCAAGUUGUCUUCUCAGCAGACAAACAUAUUUCUUCCUUAAAGAAAAUGCAUGUCAAAGAGAUCACUGCAGUGUGGAAUAAGACAGAAAAGAGGGCCCAAACAGCGGAUAAACUUCUGAAAAAAUACCCUUUAAGGAAGAGGAUUCCAAAUUCUGGGAUUCUGGGAACCUAAGGUUGACGCAGCCUUGGUGAGGCUUGCUAAAAAUAAGCACUUUCAUGGUGGAUGAUGCAGCAGUUUUCAAGGAGCCCAUGGAGAAAGAGAUUGAAUGAAGUCAGAAGCUUACUGCAAGAUCACUUGUGAGCAGUGAGGAGAACGCUGUGGCUCAAGCCCUGGGCAGAAGACGUGGCCUUCAAAACUAAUAUUUGCCAGCUUCCUUUUGAAGGUGAAAUGCUUUUUGAGGAAAAACUAGUUGCAAUCAUAAAAGUCUCCGAAGCUUGGACUGGGUGUUUUUGAAGGUUUUAUAUUGUUCUAAUUUCCACCAGCCAUUGGAUCCAGCCAAUAUAAUAUAAAACAGUGUGUGGAAGCAGUCACACUCCUUGAAUGGAUAAAUUAUCACACCGCACAUUUAAGAAAGGACAGCGUCUAUUUUCCCGAAAUACCACUUUCGAUAAAUGUUUUGUUUAAAGGAAGUGCAUGCUUGUAGCCAGCAAUGGCUAACAGGAAGUAAAAGGACUAACCACGACCUGGAUGUGUAACUCUGCACGUAGAGAGAAGGCGUAAGGAGACAUCACUCUGACUCCCGUUACUCUUUCUGGACAGAAUAACUGCAAGCCCAUAAGAUGACCUUAUAAAGUUUGCAUAAACCACCAGGCAGACAGGAACCAAUGAUUGCUCCCAUAUCCCUGACAAAGAUGUCACCCUCAGCCACAUCGCAGAGUGACACGCCAAUGCUAAUGUCACCUCUCAUCCCACAGAGGCAAUGUCAAGAGGAAAUUAAAAAAAAAAAAAAAGGGCUGAGAGAUUCUCAAUCUGUAGAUCUCUGAGGGAAUAAAAUUCUCUGUAAUGAUUUUCAGGCAGAGGCUCUUCUCCUCUGUGUGUGAGUUGUGCAUUCCAUACUGAUACCCUGUAAAUCACAAAUCAUUCAGGCAGGACAUAUUUGUCAUACAGAUGCAUUCUCCCCGCUAUCCCUAUAGUUUAUCUCUGCUCCCACGGCUGAAAAAUAAAUUCCUCUAAUUUCUUCUCCCCUUUCUUCUUCUUUUAUUUCACCUGUAAAUCCCCAGCUAUCGGCCUCCUUGUAGUACUGGAUCCUCGACUCUUUUGGUGACCCAAACUAAUGUGCCCUAAGGGCAGGGGCACACUGGCAGAUUCGGGGAGAUUUAGUCUUUAGUCGCCUCUUCUUCGGGCGACAAU